GCCAGACUCCUACGGGAGGCAGCAGUGGGGAAUAUUGGGCAAUGGAGGCAACUCUUACCCAGCAAUGCCGCGUGAAUGAAGAAGGUCUUCGGAUUGUAAAGUUCUUUAAUUGGGGACGAAAAAAAUGACGGUACCCAAGGAAUAAGCCCCGGCUAACUACGUGCCAGCAGCCGCGGUAAUACGGAGGAUCCGAGCGUUAUCCGGAUUUAUUGGGUUUAAAGGGUGCGUAGGCGGUUUUUUAAGUUAGUGGUUAAACGUCGGGGCUUCACCUUGAUUUGCCAUUAAUACUGUAAGACUCGAGUUCAGACGAGGUAGGCGGAAUAAGUUAAGUAGCGGUGAAAUGCUUAGAUAUAACUUAGAACUCCGAUAGCGAAGGCAGCUUACCAGACUGCGACUGACGCUGAAGCACGAGAGCGUGGGUAGCGAACAGGAUUAGAUACCCCAGUA
RNAcentral lists this ribosomal RNA (447 nucleotides) under uncultured bacterium. RNAcentral's name for it is "partial 16S ribosomal RNA". It matches the Rfam family "Bacterial small subunit ribosomal RNA", at positions 330 to 792 of the family's 1533-position model. The record is from RNAcentral.